GACUAACGCUGGCGGCAUGCUUUACACAUGCAAGUCGAACGGUAACAGGCCGCAAGGUGCUGACGAGUGGCGAACGGGUGAGUAAUGCAUCGGAACGUGCCCAGUCGUGGGGGAUAACUGCUCGAAAGAGCAGCUAAUACCGCAUACGAUCUAUGGAUGAAAGCGGGGGACCGUAAGGCCUCGCGCGAUUGGAGCGGCCGAUGUCAGAUUAGGUAGUUGGUGGGGUAAAGGCUCACCAAGCCAACGAUCUGUAGCUGGUCUGAGAGGACGACCAGCCACACUGGGACUGAGACACGGCCCAGACUCCUACGGGAGGCAGCAGUGGGGAAUUUUGGACAAUGGGGGCAACCCUGAUCCAGCAAUGCCGCGUGCAGGAAGAAGGCCUUCGGGUUGUAAACUGCUUUUGUACGGAACGAAACGGUCUGGGUUAAUACCCUGGGCUAAUGACGGUACCGUAAGAAUAAGCACCGGCUAACUACGUGCCAGCCGCCGCGGUAA
Molecule: ribosomal RNA, 498 nt
Filed under: uncultured bacterium
Lineage: Bacteria
Description: partial 16S ribosomal RNA
Rfam family: Bacterial small subunit ribosomal RNA
Source: RNAcentral